GUGUCCGUCGAGUUCGAGUGUCGAGUCAAGUCAGCCUGUGUCUGGGCUUCAGAAAAUUGCAAAGGGAAAAAAGCCUUGCAAGCCAAAGUGAUUAAAGUACUGCAGUUUGAUGCAACGCCGCUGACCGUACAGCUAGUUUGGAUUGUUCCCCGUCGUGAUUCCGACGGACAAACCCAACUCCGUAGUGGUUCCGUCGUUCGAAAGUGUGUGCUAGUUCAUACAGAUCGUAUCGGAGAGGUUAGUUACCUAGCCAGUCAGUGCGCGGUGAUAAAAGGCGAAAAUGUUAGUGCAGCAGCAGGCCGCGGAGGUUCGGAAGCUUCCAGCCAACUAGAUUCAGCUUGAGGUGCAGUUUUGUUCUGUCAAAUUCUAGGGGAUUCUAGGGGCCAACUAGUUGCUUGGAAGUGCAUUAGUGGGGGCGAUAAUUUUCAGUUUCUGCUUUCUGGCUAGGAAAAUUUGCAAGCCUAGCCUUGUCGAGUACAGUGAGCGAGAGAAGAGGGUGUAUUUUCCAAAGCGUGAAAAAUUUUUUUUGUUGGGGAGUGUGAGUUUUCCGUCGUUUAUUAGACAGAGCAGCUCCAAACUUGCCCGAAACAAGACAGUGUGCUUGUGUACGUGAAUUUAUUCUACAAAGUGCGUACGGGAAAGUCUGAGAGGACACCGUGCAGUAAGCAGCAGCAGCGAAGAGGAAAAUUCGAAACAAAAACGAAGGUUUUUUCACGGUGUUCGUUUUCCCACCAUACAGCCGCCGCAGUCCAGGGUUCACAAGUGGAAGUGAAAACUUUCCCCCCUGGAUAGCCAGUGUGUGUGAGAGAGAGGGAGCGAAAGAGAGCGAAAAUAGUAACAUUUUCGGGAAGAAGUUAAUUGAAAAGUGAUUCAUUAUUGUUAUUAUUGCCAGUCGAAGUUGGGACCACCUACCAAUCGCCCGUGCCGCCCACCACCCUGCCAUCGAGUGGGGUAAGAUCAACGUGAAAAAAUCUCGCAUCCGAAAGGUUUGAAACCUUUGCCAUCGACCAGCAGAACUCUAGAGGGUCUAUCUCUCUAGCUAGCGCUUCGUUCGAGCUAUUUCAAGAUCUCAAAACAGUAUUCCCCCGCCCCGUAAGCCAUGACCAAAAAGUUCGAAUUCAACUGGCAGAUUCCAGUUCCGGAGGCGCUGAAAAAUGGGUGCGUCUUCGACCGGUGGACCGAGGAGAAGGACAACAACGAAUUCGAGCCAGCGUGUAUGUUUAAGGUGGACGAAUAUGGAUUCUUCGUGUACUGGAAGAGCGAAGGAAAGGAAGGCGACGUGAUCGAGCUUUGCCAAGUCAGUGAUAUUCGCGCUGGAGGGGUGCCGAAGGAAAUGAAACUGUUCAAUCAACUGGUCAACAAGCACGGAGACAACGUGGAGGAAAAAUCACUAACCAUCUGCUCCGGCACAGAUUACAUCAACAUCAACAUGCAGCACGUGGUCUGCCCGGAUGCGGCCACUGCCAAGAUCUGGGUUGAUGGACUGCGGAAAAUUACCCACAAUGGCAAAGCGAACAAUUUUUGCCCCAUGACUGCGCUCAAGAAGCAUUGGAUGAGACUGGGCUUUCUGGUGGCUCCAAGUGGUAAAGUUCCGGUGAAAGUGGUGGCCAGAACAUUUGCGUCCGGUAAAACGGAAAAACUGGUCUACCAAAUUCUGUCCGACCUGGGUCUGCCCAGUGGAAAGAACGAUGCCAUCGAAAGAGCCGAUUUCACGUUCGAGAAGUUCUACGAACUGUACCACAAGAUCUGCCCCAGGAAUGACAUCGAGGAGCUGUUUCGCGCCGUUACGCAGGGCAAAGCAAAUGCCAUCAAUCUGGAUCAGUUUAUAAACUUCCUCAACGAGAAGCAGCGCGAUCCUCGGCUGAAUGAAAUUCUCUACCCAUUGUACGACGAGAAGCGAGCACUGGAAAUCAUCAACACCUACGAGCAGGAUGAGACAGCUCGCGAAGGAAAAAGCCUCACCAAAGACGGCCUCAUUCGGUACUUGAUGUCCGACGAGAAUGCGCCGGUAUUUCUGGACCGGCUGGACAUCUACAUGGACAUGGACCAGCCGCUGUCGCAUUACUACAUCAACUCGUCUCACAAUACGUACCUGUCCGGGCGUCAGUUCGGCGGAAAAAGUUCGGUCGAAAUGUACCGCCAGACGCUGCUGGCCGGCUGUCGGUGCGUCGAGCUGGACUGCUGGGACGGCAAGGGCGAGGAUGAGGAACCGAUUAUCACCCACGGUAUGGCCAUGUGUACUGAUAUUCUGUUUAAGGACGUGAUAUAUGCCCUUCGUGAUACGGCGUUCGUCACCUCGGACUACCCUGUGAUUCUUUCGUUCGAAAACCACUGCUGCCGAACGCAGCAGUAUAAGCUUGCAAAGUACUGUGAUGAAAUUCUCGGUGAUCUGCUGCUGAAGGAGCCACUGCCUGAUUAUCCGCUGGAACCGGGUGCUCCGCUGCCGCCGCCCUCAGCGCUGAAGCGCAAAAUUAUGAUCAAAAACAAAAGACUUAAGCCGGAGGUGGAAAAGCGCGAGCUGGAACUGUUCCUGCAGGGCGAACUCGUGGUGGAGGAUGAAAUCAAAGAGGACGCCAGUGCGGUUCGAAAAGCCGAACCAACCGAGGAGGCAGCGGCUGCGGCACCGACGGCUGCCUCGCAGGAAGGCGGUGAAGGUGGUGAGGUUCCUGCCGUACAGUAUACCGGUUCGACGACCAACGUUCACCCGUGGCUGUCGUCGAUGGUAAACUACGCCCAGCCGAUCAAAUUCCAGUCGUUCGACUAUGCGGACAACAAAAACAUUCAUCACAAUAUGUCUUCGUUUGCGGAAACUACCGGCAUGAAUUUGCUGAAACAACAGGCUAUUGAUUUUGUGAACUACAACAAACGUCAGAUGUCGCGCAUCUAUCCGAAGGGCACCCGAGCUGAUUCGUCCAACUACAUGCCGCAGGUGUUCUGGAACGCCGGUUGUCAGAUGGUGUCGCUGAACUUUCAAACUUCCGAUCUUCCCAUGCAACUCAAUCAGGGCAAGUUCGAGUACAAUGGUAACUGCGGCUAUCUGCUGAAGCCGGAUUUCAUGCGGCGAGCCGAUCGAAGUUUCGAUCCUUUUGCCGAUGCUCCGGUCGACGGUGUGAUUGCCGCCUCCUGUGCCGUACAGGUUAUUGCUGGUCAAUUCUUGUCGGACAAAAAAAUCGGUACAUAUGUGGAAGUGGACAUGUACGGUUUACCGUCGGAUACAGUUCGAAAGGAGUUUCGAACUCGUCUAGUGCCGGCUAAUGGUCUCAACCCGGUCUACAAUGAAGAACCGUUCCUGUUUCGUAAAGUUGUUCUGCCUGAUCUGGCUGUACUUCGAUUCGGAGUGUACGAUGAAAACGGUAAGUUACUCGGACAGCGAAUCCUCCCAUUGGAUGGUCUACAAGGUGGCUACCGGCAUAUUUCGCUCCGUACCGAAGCUAACUUCCCGAUGUCACUCCCGAUGUUGUUCUGUAACAUUGAACUUAAGAUCUACGUCCCGGAUGGAUUCGAAGACUUCAUGGAUGCCCUGUCGGAUCCGCGAGCCUUCAUGGGUGCCGCCAAGGAACGGUCGGAUAACAUGAAGGCCAUGGGAAUCGAAGAGUCCAGCUCCGGUGCCGCUGCCGAUGCGUCCAAGGGUGUUAAGAAGGAAGAACCAACCGAACCGCCGCUGGUGUUCGAUCCGAUUACGGUUGAAUCCCUGCGGCAGGAGAAGGGAUUCCAGAAGACGGCCAAGAAGCAGCAGAAGGAACUGGAUAGCGUGAAGAAGAAGCACGCGAAGGAACGGAUGGGUGUGCAGAAGCAGCAGAAUGCUGCCAUCGAGCGGUUGGUUAAAGGAAAGAGUAAAGAGGAAAUCAAAGCAGACUCGGCUAUUCGUAAGGUGAUUCAGGAGCAAAAUUCCCAAUGGGGUGAGAUGAUCGAGCGACACAAGAAGGAGGAGUGGGAUUUGCUGAAGCAGCAGCUCGACGAUCAGAAGGAUAUCCUGCGAAAGCUGAUGGAAACAACCCAGGCGGCUCAGAUGAAGCAGCUGGAAGCCAAACACGAGCGAGAUAUCAAAGCGUUGAACAGCCAGCAGGCGAAAAUUUCCGUCGAAACGUCCAAGGAGGUGGCGAACGAUAAAACACUGAAGACCAAGGGCGAGAAGGACCGUCGGUUGCGCGAGAAGAAGCAAAACAAUAUCAAGCGGUUUAUGGAUGAGAAAAAGACGGCCCAAAUCAAGCAGAACCGCGAGAAGGAAAAGCUGAAGGUGACCCACGACAAGCAGCUGGAGGAGCUGGACAGCGACGUUCAGAAGGUACAGAACGGUUACCGGGAGAUAGUGACGCUAGAAACGGUGGUAUAGCAAUCACUGCAUAGUAGUUUAGAGUGCGUGUGCGAGUGCGAACGCUCGCCGCCACCGGAAAGCCCACCGACACCGACAACGGCAACGCUGGACUCGUUGGUUCGCCGUUGCUCGUUGCCGCCAGCGAACCAACAACACUCGGGGGGUCUUCUGUCGCGAUGCUGGGCUUGGUUCUCGAACAGAAGGAAACGGAAAUCCCGACAGUGAUUGAUUCUAGUUGUUGUUGGUUCCGGAUUCAUUCUGGAAGCAAAAGCAGUGCUUUUUGUCGCCAAGCUGAUCUGUGUUAUCGAUUAGUUCGUUCUUUAGUUUUUGGUUUAGUAGAUUAUUUGAUUUUAUUUCGGUUCGUUAAUUUAAUUUCGUUAGUAGCGCAUAUUAGUAGUUGGCCAGUCGAGGUAAAUUGAAUUGACGUGAAAAUAGUUUAUUAGCAGAUGUCACGCGUACCUUAGACUCUUUCAUGUUACUAUUUAUUCGUGUUUGUGUUUAACGUUAAAUCAAGCUGGAUCUUCAUUUUCGCUGCAAUCAACUUAUCGACAUGUACAAGAUCGAUGAGGAGGAGUACAAGAUGACCAGCAAGAUGGAGUUUUAUGCCUGAGAGUUUAUCACGGAGCAACCAGAAACCUCCUAAAACUACCGGCCGAACUGAGCUCUUAGAAUAAGAUUAAAAAAAAAAGAUAAAAACAAAACAGAAACAACUAACUUUUUUGCAACAGCAACAACAACAACAACAACCUAAACAACAAACAAACAAACAAAAAAUGGUAAAAAAUUCUACAGUAGUUUGUGGAAGCAACUAUUAGAUGAUAUGAAUACGAGAAACCCCAUAUUUUAGGAAAAUCUUACUUGUGCUCCACCACUAUCAUGGCAAAAAUGUAUCAUUUUGAGCAAGGGAGAAUCUAGGAGAACCAAAUGAAAACAGAAACAGUAGCGCGUAGAAUAUUAUACUAGUGUAAGAAAAUUGUGAAACCAACAUUUACCGUAAAAUAGCAUACUUUAGCCGAAAAUGGAAUCGUAAAAGUGAGAUUAGUUGUUUCUACUAGCCAAUGUGCUUUUAAUUUUCGUUGAAAAAAAAAUUGUGGAAACUCUGUUCCCGUCUAUUAAAUAUUUAUGUUGUUUGCCUUAGCAUUGUUAAGUUUCGGAAGCUUUCAACUGCUGUGUUUCAUUGUCUAGUUGGAAAUAUAGCAAGUCAAUUAGGGAAUAAAAAGCUUUAAUUUAUUAUUUUAUUUUCUUAACCAGUAACCAGAAAAGAAGCAAUUUUAUUGUCAGAUUUUCUGAAAGCAAUCAAAAGUGUUAUAAAUUUGGCAAACCAAAGUAUUCCACCACACAAUUGGCAACCAGGCUGAAGGUAAACUAAUUAUAAACAUGAUAACCCCAAAGUAUAGAACAACACGGUAUAUCAUAUAUAGUACUUUUUAAAUUUAUUGAUGCUAAUUGAUAUAAACGUUAUAAACUGACAAAAACCAAAUUUUAAAGAAAGUUAAAGAAGAAGAAAGCGUAGAUUAAGAGAAAAAGAACAAAGAAGUAUUCAACCAAAGUAGAACCAACCCUUCUCCCACCCUGUGUCCUUACAAAGAAAAAAGUUCCUUCGUCGUAGUAGGCUGAUGAGAUACCAAACACACGGAAACAUGGUCACCCUUUCUUCCCAUUCUUCCUGUCUUUCUCUUUUUCACUUUCUCUAUUAUCCAUCUCCAUAAUCGAAAAAAAAAACAUCGCGAAGAAGGAAUAAAAAACGAACUGCUGCUAGGAUUAACGCAAACUUGACAUAAAAACUGAAACAAAAAUCAUGAGUGCCUAUAAUGCAAAACAAAAAUCAUCCCUUUAAACUUUUUACGAACCAUCACAGGGGCGCGAUUGUGUGUGCGUCGUUGCGUGAUGAUGAUCGAUUCCGAAGAAGAAAAAACAAUCUUUCCGUUCCGAAAGAUAUGAUACUAGGAUAAACACACAAUCACACUCGUCUUAAUUGCACCACCCAAACAAACAACACAUGCAACAUUCAGUCAGAACAAAACAUUCAACGAAGUUUUCCCCUAAUUGUCAAAAAAAAAACAUUACGUAAAGGUGAAACCUUUUUUUUUCUCUGAACAAGAAACAAGAAAAACCACAUAUUCUAGUCGUUAAAUUUUAAGCAAACAUGAAGAAACACUUAUAAAAGAUAUAAAAACAAACUAAAACUGAUGAUGAUGAUGAUUUAGAGUAGUAACAUAACGAACUUGUGAUAAGUUCUAGCCACUAAAGAACAAAACAACACAGCAACACAACACAUUGUUCCAAGUAAUCAAGUGAUUGGAAAAUUUAGUAUUAUUAACUCUACCGUGUUAAAAUACGGGAAAAACUGAAACUGAUAAAAUCAAAGUGUAGAAUAUUUCGCGCUCCCGCUUCGCGGGAAGAUAACUAAGGCGCAUCCUAAAAAUCAACAAAAAAAAAACGAUGUAGUAGAGCAAAACAAAACAGGAGGAAGGAGGUAUGUUCAUUCCUUAUUGAUGAUGAUGAAGAAGAUGAUAAUGAUGACGGGGCGGCAGGCAAUUUGUUGGAUGGAUCUCAAAUUAUGAUGCUUUGUUUUUUACUAUACUGUCUCUUUUUUGUAAAAUUCCAUCCUCAAAUCAAACCGGAAACAGUGGACCGAACGCAGGUGGAACUUUUGCCAUGAAUCGUGUCUGUAGAUCGUGACGUUACAGCA
Molecule: RNA transcript, 7007 nt
Organism: Sabethes cyaneus
Lineage: Eukaryota; Metazoa; Arthropoda; Insecta; Diptera; Culicidae
Gene: norpA
Gene name: 1-phosphatidylinositol 4,5-bisphosphate phosphodiesterase
Exons: 14
Source: RefSeq, a predicted model, not a curated record